Molecule: ribosomal RNA, 489 nt
Filed under: uncultured bacterium
Lineage: Bacteria
Description: partial 16S ribosomal RNA
Rfam family: Bacterial small subunit ribosomal RNA
Source: RNAcentral
GACGAACGCUGGCGGCGUGCUUAACACAUGCAAGUCGAACGGUGAAGGGACCAGCUUGCUGGUUCUGGAUGAGUGGCGAACGGGUGAGUAACACGUGAGUAACCUGCCCCCUUCUUCUGGAUAACCGCAUGAAAGUGUGGCUAAUACGGGAUAUUCUGGGUCUGUCGCAUGGCGGGCCCGGGAAAGAUAUUGCUUCGGUGGGGGAUGGGCUCGCGGCCUAUCAGCUUGUUGGUGGGGUGAUGGCCUACCAAGGCGGUGACGGGUAGCCGUCCUGAGAGGGUGGACGGUCACACGGGGACUGAGACACGGCCCAGACGCCUACGGGAGGCAGCAGUGGGGAAUAUUGCACAAUGGGCGCAAGCCUGAUGCAGCGACGCCGCGUGAGGGAUGGAGGCCUUCGGGUUGUAAACCUCUUUCGCCAGUGAAGCAGGCCUGCUCCUUGUGGGUGGGUUGACGGUAGCUGGAUAAGAAGCGCCGGCUAACUACGUG